GCCAGGCGUGGUGGCUCACGCCUGUAAUCCCAGCACUUUGGGAGGCUGAGGCGGGCGGAUCACCUGAGGUCAGGAGUUUUGAGACCAGCCUGGCCAACGUGGUGAAAGCCCGUCUCUA
This is an unclassified non-coding RNA of Macaca fascicularis (crab-eating macaque), 118 nucleotides long. It matches the Rfam family "Metazoan signal recognition particle RNA". Rfam says of the family: The signal recognition particle (SRP) is a universally conserved ribonucleoprotein. It is involved in the co-translational targeting of proteins to membranes. The eukaryotic SRP consists of a 300-nucleotide 7S RNA and six proteins: SRPs 72, 68, 54, 19, 14, and 9. The record is from Ensembl. Lineage: Eukaryota; Metazoa; Chordata; Mammalia; Primates; Cercopithecidae.